AAAGAGAGCUGUCCGUCGACAGUCCAGAAUUCAUUUAAUAUCACUGUCAUGGAAUUGCUCUCUUUGU
This 67-nucleotide microRNA precursor is filed under the name Drosophila yakuba. Its description in RNAcentral is "Dya-Mir-281-P1-v1_pre stem-loop". It matches the Rfam family "mir-46/mir-47/mir-281 microRNA precursor family", at positions 14 to 75 of the family's 85-position model. Rfam says of the family: The hairpin precursors (represented here) are predicted based on base pairing and cross-species conservation -- their extents are not known. In this case the mature sequences are expressed from the 3' arms of the hairpin precursors. The record is from RNAcentral. Lineage: Eukaryota; Metazoa; Arthropoda; Insecta; Diptera; Drosophilidae.